CAAUAGCGUAUAUUAAAGUUGUUGCAGUUAAAAAGCUCGUAGUUUGAUUUCUGGACGGGCGCCAACACCCGCUUGUUAGUGUGGAGGCGGCACCCGCCCAUCCUUCUGUUAACGCCGCCGGCAUUUGUUUGCUGGUGGCGGGCUCAGAUAUUUUACCUUGAGAAAAUUAGAGUGUUUCAGGCAGGCUUGCGCCUAGAUACAUUAGCAUGGAAUAAUAGAAUAGGACUUUGACCUCUUCUGUUGGUCUGAGGGGUGAGAGUAAUGAUUAAUAGGGAUAGUUGGGGGCAUUAGUACUUAACUGCUAGAGGUGAAAUUCUCAGAUUUGUUAAAGACUAACUUAUGCGAAAGCAUUUGCCAAGGAUGUUUUCAUUAAUCAAGAACGAAAGUUAGGGGAUCAAAGAUGAUCAGAUACCAU
This 415-nucleotide ribosomal RNA is filed under the name uncultured eukaryote. RNAcentral describes it as "SSU rRNA". It matches the Rfam family "Eukaryotic small subunit ribosomal RNA", at positions 592 to 1018 of the family's 1831-position model. The record is from RNAcentral.